Molecule: ribosomal RNA, 465 nt
Filed under: Vreelandella stevensii
Lineage: Bacteria; Pseudomonadati; Pseudomonadota; Gammaproteobacteria; Oceanospirillales; Halomonadaceae
Description: partial 16S ribosomal RNA
Rfam family: Bacterial small subunit ribosomal RNA
Source: RNAcentral
CCUACGGGUGGCUGCAGUGGGGAAUAUUGGACAAUGGGGGGAACCCUGAUCCAGCCAUGCCGCGUGUGUGAAGAAGGCCCUCGGGUUGUAAAGCACUUUCAGUGAGGAAGAACGCCUGGUGGUUAAUACCCAUCAGGAAAGACAUCACUCACAGAAGAAGCACCGGCUAACUCCGUGCCAGCAGCCGCGGUAAUACGGAGGGGGCGAGCGUUAAUCGGAAUUACUGGGCGUAAAGCGCGCGUAGGUGGCUUGAUAAGCCGGUUGUGAAAGCCCCGGGCUCAACCUGGGAACGGCAUCCGGAACUGUCAAGCUAGAGUGCAGGAGAGGAAGGUAGAAUUCCCGGUGUAGCGGUGAAAUGCGUAGAGAUCGGGAGGAAUACCAGUGGCGAAGGCGGCCUUCUGGACUGACACUGACACUGAGGUGCGAAAGCGUGGGUAGCAAACAGGAUUAGAUACCCCUGUAGUC